Long non-coding RNA from Malaya genurostris, 818 nucleotides. RefSeq lists it as uncharacterized. NCBI's taxonomy places the organism in Eukaryota, Metazoa, Arthropoda, Insecta, Diptera, Culicidae. The transcript has 3 exons. The record is from RefSeq and is a predicted model, not a curated record.
UUUUAAAAUUAGGAAAUUUCGUAAAAAUUUGAAUGCAAUUAAGCAAAGGACAUUUGAAAUAGUUAUUUUCAGGAAGUUUAUGCACAUUUUCAGUGUGCUUCAAAUGUAAAACUAGCGAACAAGAAUUAUAAUCGCAACCAGAUAAAUAGCUACCAUGCGGUGGAUCUAAUCCAUACACGAAUUUCUCUAUGAAAUUCCAAACCAAUUUGGAAAGGCUCGAGACCGGUAAACCUAGCACUAUCUGUAGCUUCAAUUGUACGUCAAGCCCACGCUUAAUAGUAGGCAACUCAUACUCGAGGUUUUUGUAAAUAACGUAGCAUUGCCCCGUAACGGUUUCCAAAGAUUCACCUAUUACUACCAAUUUUGGAGAAGCAGGUAGCUUUAGAUUCUCCAAUAUUUGCAGUGUAUCAUGGAGUUUUGUUCGGCCUGAAUCUCUGCUAUUAGCCAACAGGAAAGUAUCCGAUUGUGCAACCGAUAUUGUUGGUUUGAAUCCCUUUGAUGCCUUAACAGGAAUAAGCACUGUACUCAAAGCAUGGAGAAGAUGAAGCAAACGUAUGUCUGUAAAAUAUAAAUGUGGAAGAAUACUAGCAUUACAUAAAUUGAUGAAUAUACGAGAAAAAUUUCUUACCGGAAGAAUAACUGGCAUCUCUUAAACCUUGCAACAAGCGCUUUGACGAUGGAUCUUUUGCAUUCUUAUUCACAUACUGUGCAACUGGCUCGAAAAUAGUAUCCCACUUUUUAAAACAUUCACUUGGAUCACCCAAACCAAGGUUUCGAUAAUCAAUGUCCAACUAAAAGUAAUCGUUUUAUUUUUGUAA